RNAcentral lists this ribosomal RNA (320 nucleotides) under uncultured bacterium. RNAcentral's name for it is "bacterial SSU rRNA". It matches the Rfam family "Bacterial small subunit ribosomal RNA", at positions 470 to 789 of the family's 1533-position model. The record is from RNAcentral.
UGACGGUACCUGACUAAGAAGCACCGGCUAAAUACGUGCCAGCAGCCGCGGUAAUACGUAUGGUGCAAGCGUUAUCCGGAUUUACUGGGUGUAAAGGGAGCGUAGACGGCAUGGCAAGCCAGAUGUGAAAUGCGGGGGCUCAACUCCUGAACUGCAUUUGGAACUGUCAAGCUAGAGUAUCGGAGAGGUAAGUGGAAUUCCUAGUGUAGCGGUGAAAUGCGUAGAUAUAUGGAAGAACACCAGUGGCGAAAGCGGCUCUCUGGUCUGUAACUGACGCUGAGGUUCGAAAGCGUGGGUAGCAAACAGGAUUAGAUACCCUG